ACGAAGCGCAGUUCUGUAAAGCGAGAGUUUCGUUUGCUCGUGAUCGAAAGUAGCUCUAGUUUCUCGCUAGAGGCAGAUGCGGCAGUUGUUGUUUGAUUUUAUUAUAACUCGCAUUAGCCAGCAACGUUCCUUUUCCAUGUAUCCGGGAUUCCGAGAGGUCAUUCAUUUUUGGAUAAUCUUCCACCACCCAUAGAGUCCCGGAUUCGAGUGGGCAGCGAGCUAGUAAGUUGAACGGGACAAAUCACAGUACGUCUGUCUCUCUCCGCAAACAAGUCUUCUUCGAUCGAGCGCCCACACUGAUUGGAGCAAGCACAGUUGGGUGCCGCGGCUAUUCCGUUGAGCAGCUCUGUCAGCGAAGAAAGGAAAACAUUCCCGUGACAUUAGCCAGGAGGAUCCAGUCAUAGCCUGUUCACCCUUACACGGUCCGCGCCAGUUCUGGGCAGUGGCACUAGAUCAGCUACCACCCGUAUAGUAGAUCUACCCUACUCUUCACUUGAGCGUGGAUGACCGGUCGAUCGCUCCUCUUCGUGGGACGAUCAGGACGACUCACUCUCGUAGAUCUACUGACCGGGAUCAGUAGCAUAGCGUGAGGCAGUAGAUGACUGGAUCGCUAGCGGGUGAACACGCAUUGUCAGGUCACCGUGCUCACAGCACUCAUAACUGCAUCAGCCAAGCACCAUCUUGUGUACAUGUGACUUUCAAUGUCUUAUGCGGACACUGUUAUGAAUCUGAUCAGCUCACCGCUGCCAAAUAUGGGUAGCAGCGAGUAGUCACGGCAAACUGAGAAGAUUCUUUAGCAGUACUGUCAAAGUAGCUCAAUGGCUCAUUCCUGACGGUGAAACGAGCUCAAGGAACCUAUCUGUGGUGCUUCUCUGACUGGACCGACAGGGGCAGAGGUGGCCAGGAGAGCUGCACAGAAGAGCUAUCAAGGAGAGCCAUCCACAGGCUGUAGUGAUCAGGACGCCACCUUGAGACCCGACUGGGACAACAACCGGGCACGCUGACCAGAAAACAGCAACCUAGAGGGGUCCUGCUGCGUGGAUAUCUGAGGGCAGCACCACAGACAGCCCCUGGAACACACUCGUACGGGGUACACAAACACACCGGCUCACCGCCAGGGACAGCACCAGCCAGGUCACUGCCAGGGACAGCACCAGCCAGGUCACUGCCAGGCACAGCACCAGCCAGGUCACUGCCAGGGACAGCACCAGCCAGGUCACUGCCAGGGACAGCACCAGCCAGGUCACUGCCAGGGACAUCACCAGCCAGGCCACUGCAAGGGGCAGCACCAGCCAGGUCACUGCCGGGGACAGCACCAGCCAGGUCACUGCCAGGGACAGCACCAGCCAGGUCACUGCCAGGGACAGCACCAGCCAGGUCACUGCCAGGCACAGCACCAGCCAGGUCACUG
This is a long non-coding RNA of Sycon ciliatum, 1411 nucleotides long. RefSeq lists it as uncharacterized. The record is from RefSeq and is a predicted model, not a curated record. NCBI's taxonomy places the organism in Eukaryota, Metazoa, Porifera, Calcarea, Leucosolenida, Sycettidae. The transcript is spliced from 3 exons.